This 1840-nucleotide ribosomal RNA is filed under the name Korotnevella fousta. Its description in RNAcentral is "SSU rRNA". It matches the Rfam family "Eukaryotic small subunit ribosomal RNA". The record is from RNAcentral. Lineage: Eukaryota; Discosea; Flabellinia; Dactylopodida; Paramoebidae.
AUCCUGCCAGUAGUCAUAUGCUUGUCUUAAAGAUUAAGCCAUGCAUGUCUAAGUAUAAGCACUUGUACUGUGAGACUGCGAAUGGCUCAUUAUAUCAGUUAUAAUUUAUUUGAUGGUCAUUUACUUGGAUAACCGUGGUAAAUCUAGAGCUAAUACAUGCAUAAAAUCCUGACUGGGAACGGAAAGGAUGUAUUUAUUAGAUACAAAAACCAAUGCAUCAAGUCUUCGCGGGCUUGGUGGAAAACAUGGUGAUUCAUGAUAACUUUACGAAUCGUGUGGUCUCGUACCGACGAUAGUUCAUUCAAAUUUCUGCCCUAUCAACUUUCGAUGGUAGUAUAGAGGACUACCAUGGUGGUAACGGGUAACGGAGAAUCAGGGUUUGAUUCCGGAGAAGGAGCCUGAGAAACGGCUACUACUUCCAAGGAAGGCAGCAGGCGCGCAAAUUACCCAAUCCCGACACGGGGAGGUAGUGACAAAAAAUAACAAUACCGGUCUUAUAUAAGUCUGGUAAUUGGAAUGAGUACAAUCUAAACCCCUUAACGAGUAUCAAUUGGAGGGCAAGUCUGGUGCCAGCAGCCGCGGUAAUUCCAGCUCCAAUAGCAUAUAUUAAAGUUGUUGCAGUUAAAAAGCUCGUAGUUGGAUUUUAGAGUCUACUUUGUAGAGUCCGCUUGAAUGAGUGUGUAUUUUACGAGUGGCUCUCCUUACUAGACAUUCACGAUCAUUCUUAACUGAGUGGUUGGUCUUGCUCGCAAGGGUGAGGUGCUUGGUGGGUCUGGGGAUUGGGAUGUGGUUUCUUUACGGGGCAACCUGUGGGGAGAUCUGCUCAGUUCACUUCUAUCAAGUAGGAUUCUAGUUCAUUUACUUUGAGUAAAUUAGAGUGUUCAAAGCAAACGUACAUUUUGUAAUGAAUACUAUUAGCAUGGGAUAAUGGAACAGGACGUUGGUUCUAUUUUAUUGGUUUCUAGAACUAAUGUAAUGAUUAAAAGGGAUAGUUGGGGGCAUUAGUAUUUAAUUGUCAGAGGUGAAAUUCUUGGAUUUAUGAAAGACUAACUUCUGCGAAAGCAUUUGUCAAGGAUGUUUUCAUUAAUCAAGAACGAAAGUUAGGGGAUCGAAGACGAUCAGAUACCGUCGUAGUCUUAACCAUAAACUAUGCCGACCAGGGAUUGGAAGACGUUAAUUUAAAAAAUAGGACUCCUCCAGCACCUUACGAGAAAUCACAAGUUUUUGGGUUCUGGGGGGAGUAUGGUCGCAAGGCUGAAACUUAAAGGAAUUGACGGAAGGGCACCACCAGGAGUGGAGCCUGCGGCUUAAUUUGACUCAACACGGGAAAACUUACCAGGUCCAGACACAGUUAGGAUUGACAGAUUGAGAGCUCUUUCUUGAUUCUGUGGGUGGUGGUGCAUGGCCGUUCUUAGUUGGUGGAGUGAUUUGUCUGGUUAAUUCCGAUAACGAACGAGACCUCAGCCUGCUAAUUAGUUAUAUAAAUUAAUACGCUAUGAGGGUUUGCUGUAGAGCUUCUUCGCAAGAGGAGGAUUUGGAGUGAAAACUUGUUUUAAUUUAUAGGAACUUCUUAGAGGGACACUUGGUGUCUAACCAAGGGAAGUUUGAGGCAAUAACAGGUCUGUGAUGCCCUUUAGAUGUUCUGGGCUGCACGCGCGCUACACUGAUAUAAUCAACAAGUAUCAACAACCUUUGCAGAAAUGUAUGGGUAAACUUUUGAAAUUAUAUCGUGCUGGGGAUCGAUAAUUGUAAUUAUUUAUCGUCAACGAGGAAUUCCUAGUAAGCGCAAGUCAUCAGCUUGCGUUGAUUACGUCCCUGCCCUUUGUACACACCGCCCGUC